GGCAACCCUGACGGAGCAACGCCGCGUGGGGGAGGAAGGUCUGUGGAUUGUAAACCCCUUUUCUCAGGGAAGAAGCUCUGACGGUACCUGAGGAAUCAGCAUCGGCUAACUCCGUGCCAGCAGCCGCGGUAAGACGGAGGAUGCAAGCGUUAUCCGGAAUUAUUGGGCGUAAAGCGUCCGUAGGCGGUUUUUCAAGUCUGCCGUUAAAGACUGCAGCUCAACUGUGGGUAAGCGGUGGAAACUGAGGAACUGGAGUACGGUAGGGGUAGAGGGAAUUCCCAGUGUAGCGGUGAAAUGCGUAGAUAUUGGGAAGAACACCAGUGGCGAAGGCGCUCUACUGGGCCGUAACUGACGCUGAGGGACGAAAGCUAGGGGAGCG
This 379-nucleotide ribosomal RNA is filed under the name uncultured cyanobacterium. RNAcentral's name for it is "bacterial SSU rRNA". It matches the Rfam family "Bacterial small subunit ribosomal RNA", at positions 376 to 770 of the family's 1533-position model. Lineage: Bacteria; Bacillati; Cyanobacteriota. The record is from RNAcentral.